CACGAAUCUUAUCUGUUCAUCUAAUGCAGAAUGUGCACAGCUUAGAGAUGCAGCUUAAUAACUAGAACAACUGAACUCCUUCAACACUUUCACCUUAAAUCUUCUUCUGGUGAUAACUCGACUCAAAUGCUGCCUGACCUGAUGAGUUCCUCCAACAUUUUGUGUGUGUCGCUUUGGAUUUCCAGCAUCUGCAGAACUUCUUUGCGUUUGUUACAUAAGAGCACUUCUCAUUCUGCAGACCUCCAGUACUCCGUAACCUCACCUUUGACAAUCGACUCCAACAACUUCCGAACCACCAAUGUCAAGCUACCAACCACCAAUGCCAAGCCACCAACCACCGAUGCCAAGCUACCAACCACCGAUGCCAAGCUACCAACCACUGAUGCCAAGCUACCAACCACUGAUGUCAAGCUACCAACCACCGAUGCCAAGCUACCAACCACCGAUGCCAAGCUACCAACCACCGAUGUCAAGCUACCAACCACCGAUGCCAAGCCACCAACCACCGAUGCCAAGCUACCAACCACCGAUGCCAAGCUAGGGAAGGUACAUGACAGAGAUGGACACAUGAUCAAUGUGCAAAGAGCAACAAAUUGCAAAUAUAAAAAAAAUACAAAUAACCUAUGAGACAUUUUCUGUCCCCCACUGGGCAUGUCCCCAGGUGGCAGAUUGGGAAAAGCUCUGCAGGUAUGCGGGGCAGGUGGAAAAUAUGCACCAAAACAGAAACGAAUGCAGGUACAUUCAUACCCAGAUUGCGUGGUGCUCCAGUCAGCUUCUGUUCUUUGUGUCAGGAACCAAAACAUGGCUGGAGGCAUAAAAAGCUACAGCUUUUCACUUUAUGGAGAGAUGUCUACAGAAUAGAGUGAUACGGCCACUGGCUGGAGAUCGCCAGGACACGCUUGGAGCUAGAGCUGGACGUGACAGUAAGUGAACCACUAGUGGUCCACUGCGGAUAGGCAGACAGGCAGUGGAAUAUGCCAAGAAAAACCAGAAACAAUCCAACAUGUUACAGGAUCCUGCAGCAGAUUAACUCAAACUGAUUACUAACACAGGCAUAAUCAAAUGGCAAACAUCAUUCGGCAAAAUCUUGCCUUAAAAUACAAACUCAUAAAGGACCCCAACACCUGACUAUAAGCACAAGCCUGAUCCAGUUGUAGAUUGAGAGUGUAUUACGACUGAUCCGUUAUUACAGAUGGGACAAUCCAUAAUAACCAUCUGGAUCUAAUGAUACAUGAUAAACAAUCAAGAACAACUUACGGAAUAGAUAUAGUCAACCCAAACACAUACAACAUUAGUAAGUGAAAAGCACCAGAAAUACGCUGACUUAAAAGAGGAAAUUGAAAGACUAUGGAACAUGAACAGGGUACACAUUGUCACAAUAGUAAUGUCUACAACUGGUAUCAUCCCCAAGUCACAACACAACAGCACUAAACAAUUAGGACUACACAACAGUAUUUAUGUAAAUCUUCAGAAAGCCAACGCCAUUCGGCUCUACAAUUCAACCACCAGGGGCAAGACAUGUUAAGUGCCGGGGUUAGGACUGAGCUUAAGUUACCACUCAAUGCACUUUAGUAAACUAUUUAAGAAUUUUUUAAAAUUUAUUUAUUAAUGCUUUUUGGGAGGGUGAUUUUAGAUGCAUAUCAUAUUAUACUGUUAAAUACUAUAUGUAAUUAGUUUUGCUACAAUAAGUGUAUGGGACACUGGAAAAAUGUUGAAUUUCCCCUUGGGGAUGAAUAAAGAAUCUAUCUAUCUAUCUAUCUAUCUAAUAAACACUAGAAUAGUCAGAAAGUUCCUAGCAAUUGACAAAUAAACUUGCUUGGCUUGGGAGCUGAGAAAAAAAUGUUUAAAAAUUUUUAUAAUAAUAAUAACAAAUAAAUAAGAAAUACAUGUUAAGAACAUGAGAUGAAGAGUCCUUGAAAGUGAGUUCAUAGGCUGUGGGAACAGUUCAGUGAUGGGGCAAAUGAAAUUCAGUGAAGCUAUCUGCCUGGGUUCCAGAGCCAGAUGGUUGAGGGAUAAUAACUGUUCCUGAAUGUGGUGGUGUGCGUCCUGAGGCUCCUGUACAUUCUUCCUGAUGGCAGCAUCGAGGAUAGACUAUGGCUUGGAUGGUGGGGGCCCUUGAUAAUGGAUGCUGAUUUCCUGCUGGAGCACUCUGUGUAAGAUGAGCUCAAUGGUGGGGAGAGGAUGAUGCCUAGCAGUAACUUCACAAGUCCGACAAGUCACUGAAGAAUCAUGUAACUGAAAAGUCAAAAAUAUGCAGAUGAUGGAAACUGAAAACAAAAGCAAAAAAUGAUGGCAGCAGUUAAUGUAUCAUUAGCCGAUGAAAUUUGUUGUUCAGGCAGAGUGGGACGGCUUUGGCUCAAUCUGGCCGGUGAAACCAGCCAGAGUUUGAAGCCUGAAAGUCGGCCUCUGAGAUCAGCGGGGGAAUUUAAAAAGCGAGCAGAGGCUGAGGACGAGCUUCACUCCAGGUGAGGUAAGGCCGGGUAAGCUCCUUUAAUUAAUCUAAUUAGCUUAGGAGUAGGUAAUGGAGGCAGCAGUUAGGGCAGUCGAGUGCUCUGUGGGAGCUAGGUGCCAAGUUAAAGGACAGGACCUCCAGGAUAGCAAUCUCAGGAUUGCUACCAGUGCCAUGUGCAGGUGGGUUUAGAAAUAGUAAGAUAGUGCAGAUCAACACGUGGCUGAAGACGUGGUGCAGGAGGGAGGGCUUCAGAUUUAUAGAUAAUUGGGCAGUUUUCCAGGGAAGGUGUGACCUGUUCUGGCGGGAUGGUCUACAUCUGAACUGGAGGGGGACAAAUAUUCUUGCAGGUAGGUUUGCAAGAGAGGCUCCAGUGGAUUUAAACUAGAUAUGAGGGGGGAGAGAAACCAAAGCGUAGGAACAGAUCUAUGGGAGAAGGAAGAAAAAGAAGACAGUAAAGUUCUUUGUACUGUUAGAGAUGAAAAGAGAGGAGGAGGUGGAGAAUUUCUUAAAUGCAUUUAUUUCAUUGCUAGGAGCAUUGUAAGAAAGGUGGAUGAUCUUAGAGCAUGGAUUGAUACCUGGAAAUAUGAUGUUGUAGCUAUUAGUGAAACAUGGUUGCAGGAGGGGUGAGAUUGGCAAAUAAAUAUUCCUGGAUUUCAUUCCUUCAGGUGUCAUAGAAUUGGAGGGACAAGAGGGGGAGGUGUUGCAUUGCUUGUCAGAGAAAAUAUUACAGCGGUGCUCUGGCAGGAUAGAUUAGAGGGCUCAUCUAGGGAGACUAUUUGGGUGGAACCGAGGAAUGGGAAAGGUGUAGUGAAACUUAUAAGGGUGUAUUAUAGAUCACCUAAUGGGGAGUGAGAAUUGGAGGAGCAAAUCUGCAAGGAGAUAGCAGAUAUUUGUAGUAAGCACAGGGUUGUGAUUGUCGGAGAUUUUAAUUUUCCACACAUAGACUGGGAAGCCCAUUCUGUAAAAGGGAUGGAUGGUUUGGAGUUUGUAAAAUGUGUGCAGGAUAGUUUUUUGCAGCAAUACAUAGAGGUACUGACUAGAGAAGGGGCAGUGUUGGAUCUUCUGUUAGGGAAUGAAAUAGGUCAGGUGACAGAGGUAUGUGUUAGGGAGCACUUCGGGUCCAGUGAUAACAAUACCAUUAGUUUCAAUAUAAUUAUGGAGAAGGAUAGGACUGGACCCAGCAUUGAGAUUUUUGAUUUGAAAAAGGCUAACUUUGAGGAGAUGCGAAAAGAUUUAGUAGGAGUGGAUUGGGAAUUUUUUUUAUGGGAAGGUUGUAAUAGAGAAAUGGAGGUCAUUUAAAGGUGAAAUUUUGAAGGUACAGAAUCUAUAUGUUGCUGUUAGGUUGAAAGGAAAGGUUAGAAGUUUGAUAGAGCCAUGGUUUUCAAGGGAUAUUGGAAACAUCGUUAGGAAAAAGGAGAUAUCUACAAUAAAUAUAGGCAGCAUGGAGUAAAUGAGGUGCUCGAGGAAUAUAAAGAAUGUAAGAAGAAUCUUAAGAAAGAAAUUAGAAAAGC
Molecule: long non-coding RNA, 3963 nt
Organism: Hypanus sabinus (Atlantic stingray)
Lineage: Eukaryota; Metazoa; Chordata; Chondrichthyes; Myliobatiformes; Dasyatidae
Exons: 3
Source: RefSeq, a predicted model, not a curated record